This 283-nucleotide ribosomal RNA is filed under the name uncultured bacterium. RNAcentral describes it as "partial 16S ribosomal RNA". It matches the Rfam family "Bacterial small subunit ribosomal RNA", at positions 773 to 1060 of the family's 1533-position model. The record is from RNAcentral.
GUGGAUUAGAUACCCUGGUAGUCCACGCCCUAAACGAUGAAUACUCGAUGUUAGCGAUAUACUGUUAGCGUCAAAGCGAAAGCGUUAAGUAUUCCACCUGGGGAGUACGCCCGCAAGGGUGAAACUCAAAGGAAUUGACGGGGGCCCGCACAAGCGGAGGAGCAUGUGGUUUAAUUCGAUGAUACGCGAGGAACCUUACCCGGGCUUGAAAGUUAGUGAAUGGAUCAGAGAUGAUUCAGUGAGCAAUCACACGAAACUAGGUGCUGCAUGGCUGUAGUCAGCU